GACGAACGCUGGCGGCGUGCUUAACACAUGCAAGUCGAACGGCAAGGCCCUGCUUUUGUGGGGUGAUCGAGUGGCGAACGGGUGAGUAACACGUGAGUAACCUGCCCUUGACUUUGGGAUAACUUCAGGAAACUGAGGCUAAUACCGGAUAGGAGCUCACGCUGCAUGGUGGGGGUUGGAAAGUUUCGGCGGUUGGGGAUGGACUCGCGGCUUAUCAGCUUGUUGGUGGGGUAGUGGCUUACCAAGGCUUUGACGGGUAGCCGGCCUGGGAGGGUGAACGGCCACAUUGGGACUGAGAUACGGCCCAGACUCCUACGGGAGGCAGCAGUGGGGAAUAUUGCACAAUGGGCGGAAGCCUGAUGCAGCAACGCCGCGUGCGGGAUGACGGCCUUCGGGUUGUAAACCGCUUUCGCCUGUGACGAAGCGUGAGUGACGGUAAUGGGUAAAGAAGCACCGGCUAACUACGUG
RNAcentral lists this ribosomal RNA (468 nucleotides) under uncultured bacterium. Its description in RNAcentral is "partial 16S ribosomal RNA". It matches the Rfam family "Bacterial small subunit ribosomal RNA", at positions 28 to 507 of the family's 1533-position model. The record is from RNAcentral.